RNAcentral lists this ribosomal RNA (810 nucleotides) under uncultured marine group I thaumarchaeote. RNAcentral describes it as "SSU rRNA". It matches the Rfam family "Archaeal small subunit ribosomal RNA", at positions 14 to 830 of the family's 1478-position model. Lineage: Archaea; Thermoproteati; Nitrososphaerota. The record is from RNAcentral.
CUGCCGGAGGCGACCGCUGUGGGAGUCCGAUUAAGCCAUGCGAGUCGAGAGAAUAAGAUUCUCGGCAUACCGCUCAGUAACACGUGGAUAACCUGCCCUGUGCUGGGGGAUAACCUCGCGAAAGUGAGAACAAUACCCCAUGGGUCACUAUGCCUGGAACGGUUAGUGGCUGAAAGCUCCGGCGGCACAGGAUGGGUCUGCGGCGUAUCAGGUCGUAGGGGGUGUAACGUACCUCCUAGCCUUCGACGCGUACGGGUUGUGAGAGCAAUUGCCCGGAGAUGGAUUCUGAGACACGAAUCCAGGCCCUACGGGGCGCAGCAGGCGCGAAAACUUUGCAAUGUGCGAAAGCACGACAAGGUUAAUCCGAGUGGUUUCUGCUAAAGGAACCUUUUGUUAGUCCUAAAAACACUAACGAAUAAGGGGUGGGCAAGUUCUGGUGUCAGCCGCCGCGGUAAAACCAGCACCUCAAGUGGUCAGGAUGAUUAUUGGGCCUAAAGCAUCCGUAGCCUGCUCUGUAAGUUUUCGGUUAAAUCUGUAUGCUCAACAUACAGGCCGCCGGGAAUACUGCAGGGCUAGGGAGUGGGAGAGGUAGACGGUACUCGGGAGGAAGUGGUAAAAUGCUUUGAUCUCUCGAUGACCACCUGUGGCGAAGGCGGUCUACCAGAACACGUCCGACGGUGAGGGAUGAAAGCUGGGGGAGCAAACCGGAUUAGAUACCCGGGUAGUCCUAGGUGUAAACGCUGUGGACUUGGUGUUGGGGAUUCUCCGAGGAUUCUCAGUGCCGAAGCGAAGUGAUAAGUCCACUGCCUG